Molecule: long non-coding RNA, 256 nt
Filed under: Elaeis guineensis (African oil palm)
Lineage: Eukaryota; Viridiplantae; Streptophyta; Magnoliopsida; Arecales; Arecaceae
Description: long non-coding RNA (EGUI_LNC059543)
Source: RNAcentral
GGGAACCUCUGGAGGGCUAACUUACCAGAUCCUCGAGAAGACCUUGACGACUCUGAGGUGGGGCUAACUUAUCAGACCCCUAUAGAGCUCGAGUCAUGCGAGAAGUGGAGGGAGACCCUUGAGGGAAUCUCCAGAGAGAUAACUAAUCAGACCCUCAGAAUGCCUCCAAGACUGCAAGAUGCCAUAGGUACAAGCUCGCUGCUAGCACACACUACCCCUUGUGCGAAGAUAAGAAGUACUAGAUGCCGUAGGCAUA